This 483-nucleotide ribosomal RNA is filed under the name uncultured bacterium. RNAcentral describes it as "partial 16S ribosomal RNA". It matches the Rfam family "Bacterial small subunit ribosomal RNA", at positions 29 to 506 of the family's 1533-position model. The record is from RNAcentral.
AUUGAACGCUGGCGGCAGGCCUAACACAUGCAAGUCGAGCGGAUGAAGGGAGCUUGCUCCUGGAUUCAGCGGCGGACGGGUGAGUAAUGCCUAGGAAUCUGCCUGGUAGUGGGGGAUAACGUCCGGAAACGGGCGCUAAUACCGCAUACGUCCUGAGGGAGAAAGUGGGGGAUCUUCGGACCUCACGCUAUCAGAUGAGCCUAGGUCGGAUUAGCUAGUUGGUGGGGUAAAGGCCUACCAAGGCGACGAUCCGUAACUGGUCUGAGAGGAUGAUCAGUCAAAAGGGAAAUAGAAAACGGGCAAGAUCCUCAGGGGAGGAAGCAGGGGGGAAUAUGGGAAAAGGGGGGAAAGCCGAAUCCAGCCAGGCCGGGGGGGGGAAGAAGGUUUUGGGAUUGGAAAGAAUUUUAAGUGGGGAGGAAGGGAAGUAAGUUAAAACCUUGCUGUUUGGACGUUACAAAAAAAAUAAGCACCGGCAAACUUCGU